AGGAGGGCUUCUCGAACUCGGGGUCUCCUCUUGAAUGUCUCGAAGACUUGAUGACUGACGGAGACUUCUUGAAUGCUGGGAAGAGUUGGUUGGAUGGAGUUUAAUGCCUCUCUUCCUUCUUUCACGUGUAUUCCCUUUGAAAUCCUUUGGUAGGUGGAGAUUACUUGUUUUCUUUGAAUGGAAUGUCACUUCUCUACCUUGCUACAGUUCUCUGUGGCUAUUUAAGCCAUUCCCCACGAAAACUAGCCGUUAGACCCAAUAUUCUAGCCGUUCUGCACAUUCUGCAACUCCUGACAAUGUUU
RNAcentral lists this long non-coding RNA (302 nucleotides) under Phoenix dactylifera (date palm). RNAcentral describes it as "long non-coding RNA (PDAC_LNC011942)". Lineage: Eukaryota; Viridiplantae; Streptophyta; Magnoliopsida; Arecales; Arecaceae. The record is from RNAcentral.